AUGUCUAAGGAUGCAUAAACAUUUAUAACUAAAUAUAUAAAUUAUUUCAUAGCUUCUUAAAAAGCCUGAAAAAGGAGAUGACCUCAUCACUGAAACAAAUAAGGAAAAAGGAGAAGAAGCUGAUAUUGAAGAAAGCAAAUGGGAGAAAUCACCUGGGUCUGGGAGUAUAAAAUCAAAGCCACUGGAAGGUUCACCAAAGGAACUUAAGGAGAAGUCACAAAAUGAUAGUGAUAAAGAGCAAAGGGAGUUGGAGAGAAGAUUUCGUGAAAAAGAACUUGAAAGACAAAGGUAUCGGUUGGAUGAUGGCAGAAAGCAUAGAGCUCACUAUGAGUUUGACAAGUUUGUGAGAAGGAAUGAAGAAGAGCUGAAAUGGGGGAAAGGAUACAGCCAAGACAGAGGGAAGAAAGGGAACCACAACUACAGCUUCACUGUGGAGGCCGUAGACAAACUGGGAUCGUCCAGCCAUGCAGUUAUACCAGCCAGGAACUCGCAUUCGAACACAUACGGGAUCUACAAGUAAAAUCUGUGAUUGCAGUGGGAAGUCCUCUGAAGAGGCCUAUGAUAGAAAGUAUGAAGCAGAUAAUUCAACUGGAGGUGGUUCUGAGAAGAGUGAAGAGGCAGAAUGAAAGAAAAGGGGUAGAAAACUUGUGAAAAAAAAUGAAUUUAAGGUUAAAUUCUCCACAAAAAUAUGUCAGGUCACUUCAGAAUUCCACAGAUUGGACCAACAAAACUAUAGUAAUCUGUCUCUUUCUUUAAAAUGAAGAAAAUAGUGUUUGGAGGCAGAUGAAAUAGCCCAUAAAAGAAAUUUAGUUGCUUUUCUACAAAAACUAGUAGCAAACACUUUUUGACUAAUUUCGUAGUAGUUCAUUAUUUUAGUAAGUUUACCAUUAGCUAGAAAACAUCUAAUAGUUUUCAACUUGUAUUUAUAUAAAACUUGUCAGAAAAUAUUUCACUUAGUCAAGAUGAUUAAAUUGAGAGAAAUAAAUAAAUGUAGAUUUGCAUCAGUUUGAAAUCUGAGGCACUUUAAAUGUUUCUGUGAAUGGCAUUAUCUUCAUAGGAUCCAAUCCUGCAAACACCGUGAGGCAUAAUGCUUACUACAGAGAGUAGUAUUGACGUCAAAGAGACUACACGCAGCAGAAGCACUGUCACCAGUAGUGUCUACAGGAUUAGUCCCAGAGUUUACAAACAUUUGUGGGUAUCCAUACCUCAUUGUGUUUACAUCGUUUUUCAAUUCACUGUAUUGUCACAUAAGUGAAUAAAAGCC
Molecule: long non-coding RNA, 1264 nt
Filed under: Pelusios castaneus (West African mud turtle)
Lineage: Eukaryota; Metazoa; Chordata; Testudines; Pelomedusidae
Description: lncRNA (ENSPCEG00000001716.1)
Source: RNAcentral